AUACCUUCUUCCAGGGACAAGGCUCAUUCUUUCCCCCCUUUUCUCCCUCCAUCCCUCUCUUUCCUUCCUUCCUUCUUCUCCCCCUUCCUUUUUCCCCUUCUGUCCUCCUUUUCCUCCCUCCUUCCCUUACUUGUUUCAUUUCCCUUUUUUUCCUUCCUUCCUUCCUUCCUUCUUUCGCUCCUCUUUCCCUUCCUUCCUUUCUCCCUUUCUCCUCUUUUUUUCUCCUUCCUUCUUUUACUCCCUUCUUCCUCCUCUUCCCUGCCUUCUUACAUUUCCCUUUCUCCUUCUUUUUUACUUCCUUCUUUUCUUCCUUCAUUCUUCCCUCCCUUCACCCUUCUCUCCCUCCUUUCUCACUUUCCUUUCCCCUUCCUUCUUCCUUCUCCCUUUCAUUUCUUCCUUUCCCGUUCCCUCCUUCUUUCCUUCCCUUUCUUCCCCCCUUUCUCUCCUUCCCUCUAUCCUUCCUUCUCUUCCUCCCUUCCUUUUCCCCUUCCUUCCUUCUUUCCCUCUCUCCCUCUUUCCUCUCCCCUUCCUUCCUUUCCCCUUCUCCCCUCCUUCCCUUUCUCCUUCCUUCCUCUCCCCUUCCUUUCUUCCUUUCACCUUUCCUCCUUCUUGCCUUUCUUCCCUCCCUUCCUUCCCCCUUUCUCUCCCUCUCUCCAUCAUUUUUUGCUUUCUUCCUUUCCCCUUCCUUCCUUCCCUCCCUCCAUCAGUCCUUCCUUUCCCCCUUUCUUUUCCUCCCCUUUCUUUUUCCCUUCCUUCCUUCACCGCCCUUUCUUUCCCCUUCCCUUCCUUACUUCCUUCCCCCUUUCUCUCCCUCCAUUCUUCCUUUUCCUCCCUUACUUCUUUCCCUUCCUCCAUCCUUUCUCUCUCCCUUUCCUUACCUCUUUCCUCUCUUCUUCCUUCCCCUUUCUCUCCCUUGAUUCUUCCUUCUCUUCGACCCUUCUUUCCCUCCCUCCCUCAAUCCUUCCUCUCUCUCUCCUUCCUUCUUUCCUCCCUUUCUCUCCCCGUCUCCCUCUAUGGCAGGGGGUGCAGUCCAUGCAGGGACCUUGGGAAGCCAGAUGCAACCUGCAGGCCUUAGUUUGCAGACCCCUGUUCUAUUGGAACACCCCUGAAAUCAUCAUGACUUUCGGAAGCUGA
This 1134-nucleotide long non-coding RNA is filed under the name Anolis carolinensis (green anole). Its description in RNAcentral is "lncRNA (ENSACAG00000041025.1)". Lineage: Eukaryota; Metazoa; Chordata; Lepidosauria; Squamata; Anolidae. The record is from RNAcentral.